UGUCUCUCAUUCCAAGCAGCUUCUUCGGUGGCCGGAGAACCAACGUCUUCGAUCCUUUCUCUCUCGACUCCUGGCAUCCCUUCCAUGACUUCCCAUUCCCAAGCACAUCUCUCUCAGUCUCAUCUCCUCGCUCUGAGUCCGCAAAUGAAACUUCAGCAUUUGCCAACACACGCAUAGACUGGAAGGAAACUCCGGAGGCUCACGUUUUCAAGGCUGAUCUUCCAGGAAUAAAGAAAGAGGAAGUGAAAGUGGAGGUAGAAGACGGCAGGGUUUUGCAGAUAAGUGGAGAGAGAAGCAAAGAGAAGGAAGAGAAGAACGAGAAGUGGCAUAGAGUUGAGAGAUCAAGUGGGAAAUUCUUGAGAAGAUUCAGGCUGCCAGAGAAUGCAAAAGUUGACGAGGUUAAGGCAAGCAUGGAGAACGGAGUCCUGACAGUGACUGUUCCUAAAGAGGAGGUCAAGAAACCAGAUGUCAAGGCCAUUGAGAUCUCUGGUUGACUGAAAACAAUGGCAAAUUCCAUCUACGGGGUGUUGCAGUUUGGUCUGAAAAAAGGUAUUAGAAUUACAAUUUCUUCUAAUAAACAAGUAAUAUGGAUGAGUGUAAUCUGCAAUGUAAUGGGUGUCAUGUGGUUCUUUUGUAUGGAGUUGUAAUUUGAGUGUGCUGAAUUUUCUUUGUUAAUAAAGAUUUGAUCUUUUCGUAUACAGUUUUAUUGUCAUAAUUCUUUUCAGAUUUAUGGAAAUAAAUUUUAAUGAUGAAGAUUUUCUCUAUAAUUCAAAUUUUAUUUUAUUAAAAAAUUAAUAAAAAGUGCAAGUAUUUUGACUAUAAUUUUUUUUUUAUAAUUACUUUUAAUUAAAAUUUGAAUUCAAAGGGAGACUGAGACAGUGAGAUUGCCAAAGGAAGAAACAGAGAAGGAAGGGGAAAAACAGAGGUAAAAUCAGGGAAGGAAAGAGGCAAAGGAAGAGGGGAAGAAAAAGAAAAAGGAGAGAAAAGAGAAAGGAAGCAAGAUUCCUAGACUUGAUACUAACUUUUAGGUGAAAAUGUUAGCAAAUUAAAGCAAUGAAAUUGAGACCGGCAAAUAAAAGAGGGUAAGAUCUGGGCAUUUUGCUUAAUUAGGUUUGAAAAAAAGUUUGUCCUGAAUCUGGGUUUAAAACAAGUUUUAAAUCAGAUCGUUUUGCCACAUUUUAGAGAGACGCGGAAAUAAAUAAUAGAUUUACCGCAUCUUAAAUGAUCAAAAUUUUCUUUUAAGAAAAAAGGAAAAGUGAUAUUUAAUAUAUUUUUAAAACUGAAUGACUAAAAAUCAGAGUGAUUAAUUAAUAUAUUUAUUUUAAAAAUUUUAAUGUAAUUUUUUUAAAUUAAAAAAAUUAAGUAACAAUUUUUUUUAUAGUAUAGAAAUGGUUAAUAUAUCUUUUUAAUUAAAAUAAUUGAUGUUAUUGAAAUGAGAUAAACAUUGUGGCCACUAACUGUAACUUACUGUAAAGAUUUAACAUCUUUAGAAUAGAGCGAAUGGAGCGAAUUUUGACGAAGAAUUGAAUUAAGACUAAUAUGAAAUUUUUGAAUUUUUUUUCAUUUGGUAACAUUGAGUAUCCUAAUCCGAUUCUUGCUAUAUUACUCUGUUUUCGAAUUCCAAUAUAUUACCUCCUCCUUAUUAUUAUUAUUAUUAUUAUUAUUAUUAUUAUUAUUAUUAUUAUUAGUAAAAUAAAUUAAUAAUUAUAUAAAAUAAUAAAAUAAAUGGUUUGAUAUACAUUAUAAAAAAUAAAAAAUAAUCAUAAAAUUUACUAAUCAAAUUAUCCAAAAAAAUAGUAGUUAAAAUAAAUUAUAGUCUAUUUACCUAAAAUUUAAAAUAUAUGGAGGUUUAUAAUAUCAUAAUUCUAUAUAUUGUUUGUAUUUCUGUAUAGAAUAUAUUUGUUUAGUAUAUAUAAGGUCUAUCAAUAGUUAGCUAGUGGCUAAGUAUACAGACUAUAUAAUAACAAAUAUUAUCUCAAUGAACUCUAAGUUUUAUCACGUCCCCUUAAUUCGUGCAUUGUGGGGACAUGACGAAUUGUUAAGUGUUGCAUUAGAGUUUGAUGUCGCAUCUUGGAUAAUGGUUUAGCCAGAAUGUCUGCUAAUUGAUCUUUAGAGCAAAUAAAAUGCACUUUGACUUCAUUCUUUUGUACUUUAUCACGAACGAAAUGAAAAUCGACUUUCAAGUGCUUCGUCGAGUAUGGAAAACAGGAUUGAUAGAAAGAUAUGUUGCGCCAAUAUUAUCACACCACAAGUUGGGAGUUUUGGUGGAAUGGAAAGUAAUGUAAUGCAACAUUGACUGAAUCCAAGUUAAUUCAGUGACAGCAAGACCAAUAGCUCGAUACUCAGCCUCUAUUGAUGAACGACAACUUUUUAUUAUUUCUUAUAAUUUCAAGAUAUGAGAUUUUUGCCCAUGAAAAUAGCAUAACCUGUGGUGGACUUGCGAUUAUCAAUGUCACUCACUGAAUCAGCAUCAGUAUAUAUAUAUAUUCAAAUAUGUGUUUGCCGAUUUGGAGAUGUGAAGACCAUGACCAGCAGUGUGCUUGAGAUACCUCAAUAUACGCUUAACCGAACACCAAUUGUUUUCAGUAGGUGCAUGAAAAAACUGAAAAACCUUGUGAACUGAAUAACAUACCUCAGGUCAGGUUAAACUCAAGUAUUGCAAUCCACCUACUACACUCCGAUAUAAUAUGGGAUCACUCAUUAGGUGGCUUUGUGUAGCAGACAUCUUAUCUUUUGGAGUUGCUAGUAUGGAAAUUUCCUUGUAAUCUCCCAUCUGUGCUUUGUGAAGCAAGUCAAGUAUAUACUUUUGUUGAGUUAACAAAAGUCCAUCAGCAGUCCAAGUUGCCUCCAUACUAAGGAAAUACUCCAAUGUACCCAAAUCUUUCAACAUGAACUCAGAUUUGAGAGAGGAAAUAAUAUGAUUCAAAGUAUGACUGCAUAUACUGGUCAUGAUAAUAUUGUUCACAUACACAAGGAUAAACAACUUGAUAUUGUUCUUGACAUAACAAAAUAGAGAGGAAUCUGCAGGAGAUAUUCGAAACCCUUGAUUGAUUAAGGCUGAGAACAUACGUUUAUACCACUGACUUGGAGGUUGACGAAGACUGUAUAGUGAACAGCAUAGACGACAAACAUGAUCUGGUUUUGAUUUAUCAGUGAAACCUGGAGGCUGCUCCAUGUAAACUUCUAUCAUCCAAAUCUCCAUGCAGAAAAGCAUUAGAGACAUCUAAUUGCUUCACUAACCAACCAUUUGAGAUGGCCAAGGACAAAAUUAUUCGAAUAGUAGUUGGUUUGACAACCGGUGAAAAAGCUUCAAAAUAAUCAAUACUAGGACGUUGAUGAUAUCCCUUAGCAACAAGACGAGCCUUAUAUCUAUCAAUACUGCCAUUAGAUUUUUAUUUAACUCUAAACACCCAUUUACAACCAACUAUAUUCUAUGCCUUGUCCCGAGGAACGAGUUCCUAAGUUUCGGUUUGAAUUAAAGCAUUAAACUCUUGAAUCAUGACAUCACGCCAAUUUGAAUCUUUGACAGCUUGAGUGUAGCAACUAAGUACUGAGAAGGAGGCAGUCACAUUAUUUAACUUUAGAGACUAUGGAGUUUGUGGUUUGAGCUUGCCCGUUUUCUGUCUAGUUACUAUGGAAUGUGUCUUAACUUGCAAAGGAACAGGGGGAGGAGAUGAAGUGUUGUUUCUACUGGGAUCGAAUAGGUUGGAAUCUGAUUCUGGUUGUGUAAUUGAAACGGUGCGUUGGAGGUUUAGCUGAGUUGGAGGAGUAAGCGGUUCGGUUUGAUGAAAAUUGGUCAGCUCGGUUUGGAUAGUGUAAAGUGAUACGAUGCGCUCAGAUGAUGGGCUUAUGGUGUGGGCCUGACUUGUGUCAGUUGUGGCGUUGUUUUGGGUAAGGGUUGGAGUUAAUGGAAGCAACGUUGUUUUGAUGUCUAGAAGAGAUUUGUAAGCUGCGUUUUGGAGGCUGCUCCUAAAACACCAGGUUGUGUGUUUGACAAAGGUGGAAUGGGUGGUAACGGAAUGGACGUAGGACUCACUUUAGCCAUUAAGGUGGUGCCAGUAUCAUCCAACUUCUUAAAAUGAAACUCCUGCUCAAAAAAUAAGACAUGGCGUGAGAUAAAAAGACGACCAGAAGAAAUUUCAAGACAAGUAUACCAUUUAUGAAGUUUACUAUAGCAAAAAAAAACACAACGAGAAGACUUAGGAGCAAGUUUGUGAGAUGAAUAAGGUUUCAACCAAGGAUAACACAAUGAACAAACACACGCAAUUCAUCAUAAGUAGGUUUCUCAUGAAAUAAAAGUUCAUAGGGAGUGUGUUUGUUAUUGAAUGAAGAGGGCAAUCUAUUUAUUGUAUAGGUAGCAGUAUUGAAGGCAUAAGUCCAGUAAUUGUAAGGAACUAAAGCAUGAUGUAAUAGAGAUCGGCCUAACUCAACAACAUGCCUAUACUUUCGUUAUGCACAUCCAUUUUGUUUAGGAGUGUGAGGACAAGAAACCCUUUGUAAAAUCCCAUGUUCUUUCAAGUAAUUGGACAAAGACCGAAAUUCUCCCUCCAAUCCGAUUGAAAGUUUUUGAUAGACAGUCCAAAAUAUUUUUUUACUAAACACCGAAAUUGAACAAAGACAAGAAAGACAUCAGAUUUUUAUUUAAGAAAAUAUAACCAGUAAUACUUACUAAAAUGAUCAUAGAAAAUCACAUAAUAACGAAAACCAUCAAUAGGAACAACAGGGGCAAGACCCCAAACGUCAGAAUAAAUGAGUUCAAAAGGCUGUUUAGCACGAUAAUGAGAAUCAACAAACGGUAGUUUAUGUGAUUUACUCACAUUAUAAGCAUGAAAAUGAUGAAAUUUAUUACUAGAAUUAAAAAAAAAUAUUAUUAGAUCUAAGAACAUCAUGAACAACUUAGAAAUUUUUACGUUCUAGCCGCUCAUGCCAUAACGAAACCAUUGCUGGAAAAGUUUUUGGAGAGAAUAACCGAACUUGUUGUAGAGGAAAGUGAUAAAGACCAUUGUCACUCGGACCUUGGUAUAACACCUGCUUCGUGGGGAUAUCUUUCACAAAAUAUUUGUUAGGAAAAAAUUCAAUUGAAGUGUUAUUUUAUGAAGUAAAAGCAGAAACUGGCAUUAAAUUGUUAGUGAUAGCAGGUGAAUAAAGAAUAUCAUUCAAACGAAAAUUAUGACCAUUAAUAGAAGUAAUUGAAGAACCACGAGAUAAGACAGGAAAGUGUUUUACCAUUAGCAAUUGUGAGAGCGGUGGGAUCAUUAACAGGAACAGGAUGAGCUAUAGUUUCCUGAUUAGCUACUAGAUGAUAAUUUGCGCCGGAGUCCACAGUCCAAACCUGAAGAGGUUUGGUUUGAGUUUUUACUACAUUGGCUUGAGAAUUGGUGCGAGGUGAGGGACAUUGUCUUGAAACAUGUCCUGUUCCAUUGAAAUUAAAACAUGUUAAAGUAGAAGUGCCACGACCAGAAGCAUAACUAGACUGCCCAAAACUGCGUCCUUGAUAUGAUGACUGUCCACCACGCCCACGGUAACCACGGCCAUGCCCUCUACUGCCUCGUCUAGAAUUUGCAUAGUGAGCAGUAGCAAGAACGACAAAAUUAAGAGUGAGAGAAUCAAACUUCAAUUGGGAUUCUUCUUUGAGCAGUAAUGCAUACAACUCACUAAAAGUAAUAUGAGUAUUUCGUGCUUCUAUAGCACGCAUAAAAGGACGAGAAUCCGGAUCCAAUCAUUCCAAAACAUCACAGAAAAGAUUUUUCUCUGUAACAGAUCCUUCUAAUGCACAAAGCUAAUCAUAAUACGAUUUUGCUUUGCGCAUGUAAUUGUCAAUCGAAUAAUUACCUCGCUGCAAAUGCUUGAGUUGUUUAUGUAGCUGUUGAAUUCGCGUUUUAGCACUGGUGGAAUAAAUUACAGUGAGCUUGUCUCAAGCAUCCUUGGCAGUGGCGCAACGAGUGACCAGAUAAAGAAUAGAUUCAGAAACGAAACAAUUAAUCCAGUUAUGAACGAUCUGAUCUUGACAGAACUAAUCCAUAAAUGUGGGAUUUGGUUUGCCAUUGGGUAAAAAGCGAUCUAGUGCAGUAACAGUAUCAUCGACAUAAGAAGCCAAUCUGUAUCCAUGAAGAAGAGGCAUGAUUUGUGCAUGUCAUAGCAAAUAAUUACCCGAAGUGAGUUUAAUUGUGAGAAAUUGAGUGACGUUUGGAAUCUGAAGAUUGGAGAUAAAUGAUGUAGAUCCGACAGUAGUUGAAAUAAGAGAUUACUCAAUGCUAGCCAUUGCUGUUACGAACAGAAGGAAGAAUAAUAUGAGAAAAACGUAAAAACCAAGAGAAGAAUUUGCUGUAAAGCCUUUACGGCUCUGAUACCAUAUGGAGGUUUAUGGUAUCGAGAAUUCUAUAUAUUGUUUGUAUUUCUAUACAGAAUACAAUAAUAUAAUAUAUAUAAAGUCUAUCAACAAUAGCUAGCGGUUAAGUAUACAAACACUAUAAUAAUAAUCAUUAUCUCAACGAAGUUUAAGUCUUAUUCAUUGACCAUGAAAUUAUCUAGCAUUUAUCAAUGAAAAGUUAUAAUUAUAAUUUUAUUUUUAUUAGUAAUAUAUUUUAUUAAUUUUUUUAUAUAUCAAGUACCUUAAAUUUUAUAAGAUAUAAUUAUUUAUUCUUAAACUUUAAGAACUUUUCCAACUAGUGAAGCGAACGAGGCAUGGGCUUAUAUUUUGCAUGCAGCCACAUGAGGAAAAAUUAUAAAAUACAAAGUUGUACUGUGUAAAUUAUACGGCAUAUUUAUAUGAUAUAAAAAAUUAAUAAAAUAAAAAUAUAAGUAUAAAAAAAAUAAUUUUUUUAAAAAAUUAAUGAUGAACACUUAAAACAUAAUAACUAAUUUUUUUAAAAAAUUAAAUUAGUUAUUAUGUUUUAAGUGUUCAUCAUCUAUUUUUUAGUAUAUAUAUAUAUCUAUUUAUUAAUUUAUUAUACUAUAUAAAAUUGCCUAAGUAUGCCAUAGUUGUUGUACUAUAUAAUUACUCAUACACGUCAGACACGAUCCUUUACUCCAAUUUCAUCCACAUUCUAGAAAGAUCUCCUGUUUCCUUCUUCCUGAACCAUCGAGAACUAACCAUAUACUUCUAGAAGUUUCAUCAUAUAACAGUUAAGAAACCGCACCCUAUAUAUACCUCCUUCCUUCCUCUCUUCAAACCACAGAUCUAAGCAUAGAAAUACACAAAUACAAACAAGCCUUCACUGAGAAAUCUUGUUCUUUUCUCUCAAUUGCAAUUUCAAAAACCAAGCAAGAAAAAUGUCUCUCAUUCCAGGAAGCUUCUUCGGUGGCCGGAGAACCAAUGUCUUCGACUGAGUCCGCAAAUGAAACUUCAGCAUUUGCCAAGACGCGCAUAGACUGGAAGGAAACUCCGGAGGCUCACGUUUUCAAGGCUGAUCUUCCAGGAAUAAAGAAAGAGGAAGUGAAAGUGGAGGUAAAAGAAGGCAGGGUUUUGCAGAUAAGUGGAGAGAGA
Molecule: long non-coding RNA, 7486 nt
Filed under: Manihot esculenta (cassava)
Lineage: Eukaryota; Viridiplantae; Streptophyta; Magnoliopsida; Malpighiales; Euphorbiaceae
Description: long non-coding RNA (MESC_LNC008550)
Source: RNAcentral